This 446-nucleotide ribosomal RNA is filed under the name uncultured bacterium. RNAcentral's name for it is "partial 16S ribosomal RNA". It matches the Rfam family "Bacterial small subunit ribosomal RNA", at positions 338 to 795 of the family's 1533-position model. The record is from RNAcentral.
CCUACGGGUGGCAGCAGUCGAGAAUCAUUCACAAUGGGGGAAACCCUGAUGGUGCGACGCCGCGUGGGGGAAUGAAGGUCUUCGGAUUGUAAACCCCUGUCAUGUGGGAGCAAAUUAAAAAGAUAGUACCACAAGAGGAAGAGACGGCUAACUCUGUGCCAGCAGCCGCGGUAAUACAGAGGUCUCAAGCGUUGUUCGGAAUCACUGGGCGUAAAGCGUGCGUAGGCUGUUUCGUAAGUCGUGUGUGAAAGGCGCGGGCUCAACCGGCGGACGGCACAUGAUACUGGGAGACUAGAGUACUGGAGGGGGAACGGGAAUUCUCGGUGUAGCAGUGAAAUGCGUAGAUAUCGAGAGGAACACUCGUGGCGAAGGCGGGUUCCUGGACAUUAACUGACGCUGAGGUACGAAGGCCAGGGGAGCGAAAGGGAUUAGAUACCCUAGUAGUC